Molecule: ribosomal RNA, 1674 nt
Filed under: Triticum aestivum (bread wheat)
Lineage: Eukaryota; Viridiplantae; Streptophyta; Magnoliopsida; Poales; Poaceae
Description: partial small subunit ribosomal RNA
Source: RNAcentral
AUGGCGACCACGAAUUGGACGCUCCCCGACCACCCCACGCUCCCCAAGGGGAAGACGGUGGCCGUCGUCGUGCUCGACGGAUGGGGCGAGGCCAGCCCCGACCAGUACAACUGCAUCCAUGUCGCCCAGACGCCCGUCAUGGAUUCGCUCAAGAAUGGUGCUCCUGAGAAGUGGAGACUAGUGAAGGCUCAUGGAACUGCCGUUGGUCUCCCAAGUGACGACGACAUGGGCAACAGUGAAGUUGGCCACAAUGCUCUUGGAGCUGGCCGAAUCUUUGCUCAAGGUGCGAAGCUUGUUGAUGCUGCUCUUGCUUCCGGGAAGAUUUGGGAAGACGAGGGGUUCAAUUACAUCAAGGAAUCUUUUGAUAAGGGUACUCUGCACCUUAUUGGUUUGUUGAGUGAUGGAGGCGUUCACUCCCGGCUAGACCAAGUGCAGUUGAUUGUGAAAGGUGCCAGUGAGAGGGGAGCAAAAAGAAUUCGCCUUCACAUUCUUACUGAUGGGCGUGAUGUUUUGGAUGGCAGUAGUGUUGGUUUCGUAGAGACAAUUGAGAACGAUCUUGCUCAGCUUCGUGAGCAGGGUGUUGAUGCACGGAUUGCAUCUGGUGGUGGAAGGAUGUAUGUUACCAUGGACCGCUACGAGAAUGACUGGAGUGUGGUCAAGCGUGGGUGGGAUGCCCAGGUGCUUGGAGAAGCACCACACAAAUUCCAAAAUGCACUUGAAGCUGUGAAGACUCUAAGAGCAGAGCCCAAGGCCAAUGAUCAGUAUUUGCCCCCAUUUGUGAUAGUUGAUGAGAGUGGCAAAUCGGUUGGUCCUAUAGUAGACGGUGAUGCAGUCGUGACUUUCAAUUUCAGAGCUGAUCGCAUGGUUAUGCUUGCGAAAGCACUCGAGUUUCCUGAUUUUGAUAAAUUUGACCGUGUUCGUGUACCAAAAAUUAAGUACGCUGGGAUGCUUCAAUAUGAUGGUGAGUUGAAGCUUCCAAGCAAGUACCUUGUUUCCCCACCUUUGAUUGAGAGGACAUCUGGUGAAUACUUGGUGAAGAAUGGUGUCCGCACCUUCGCUUGCAGUGAGACAGUGAAGUUUGGCCAUGUCACAUUUUUCUGGAAUGGAAACCGUUCGGGAUACUUUGACGAGACCAGGGAAGAGUAUGUAGAAAUUCCCAGUGACAGUGGUAUCACAUUCAAUGAGCAGCCCAAAAUGAAGGCACUUGAAAUUGCUGAGAGAACUCGGGAUGCUAUCCUCAGUGGGAAGUUUGACCAGGUGCGUAUUAACCUGCCAAACGGUGACAUGGUUGGUCACACUGGUGAUAUUGAAGCUACAGUUGUUGCUUGCAAGGCUGCCGAUGAAGCUGUCAAGAUGGUCUUGGAUGCUGUGGAGCAAGUUGGUGGUAUCUAUCUUGUCACAGCUGAUCAUGGAAACGCAGAGGAUAUGGUUAAGAGGAACAAAGCUGGCCAGCCGAUGCUCGACAAGAGCGGUAGCAUCCAGAUUCUUACCUCGCAUACGCUUCAGCCAGUCCCUGUUGCUAUCGGAGGCCCUGGUCUCCACCCAGGAGUGAGAUUCCGCUCCGACAUCCAGACACCUGGGCUCGCCAACGUUGCCGCCACCGUGAUGAACCUCCACGGCUUCCAGGCUCCUGCUGAUUAUGAGACGACCCUCAUCGAAGUCGUCGACAAGUAA